This 364-nucleotide ribosomal RNA is filed under the name Euzebyaceae bacterium. Its description in RNAcentral is "bacterial SSU rRNA". It matches the Rfam family "Bacterial small subunit ribosomal RNA", at positions 1 to 367 of the family's 1533-position model. Lineage: Bacteria; Bacillati; Actinomycetota; Nitriliruptoria; Euzebyales; Euzebyaceae. The record is from RNAcentral.
UGGAGAGUUUGAUCCUGGCUCAGGACGAACGCUGGCGGCGCGCCUAACACAUGCAAGUCGAGGGAGAACCGGACCUUCGGGUCCGGGGAGACCGGCGAACGGGUGAGUAACACGUGAGGAACCUGCCCUGUAGACCGGAAUAACCACGGGAAACUGUGGCUAAUGCCGGAUGAUCUCGAGUGCCCACAUGGACGCUCGAGGAAAUGGUCAGCCGCUACAGGAUGGCCUCGCGGCCUAUCAGCUUGUUGGUGGGGUAACGGCCCACCAAGGCGACGACGGGUAGCUGGCGUGAGAGCGCGACCAGCCACACUGGGACUGAGACACGGCCCAGACUCCUACGGGAGGCAGCAGUGGGGAAUCUUGC